This 500-nucleotide ribosomal RNA is filed under the name uncultured bacterium. RNAcentral's name for it is "partial 16S ribosomal RNA". It matches the Rfam family "Bacterial small subunit ribosomal RNA", at positions 28 to 507 of the family's 1533-position model. The record is from RNAcentral.
GACGAACGCUGGCGGCGUGCUUAACACAUGCAAGUCGAACGGGUCUGCCCUGUUUUUUGCGGGGUGGGUCAGUGGCGAACGGGUGAGUAACACGUGAGUAACCUGCCCCUCACUUCUGGAUAACCGCUUGAAAGGGUGGCUAAUACGGGGUGUUCUGGCUGUGCCGCAUGGUGUGGCUGGGAAAGAUUCACUUUUGUGGUGUUUUGGUGGGGGAUGGGCUCGCGGCCUAUCAGCUUGUUGGUGGGGUGAUGGCCUGCCAAGGCUUUGACGGGUAGCCGGCCUGAGAGGGUGGGCGGUCACACUGGGACUGAGAUACGGCCCAGAUUCCUGCGGGAGGCAGCAGUGGGGGGUAUUGCACAAUGGGCGGAAGCCUGAUGCAGCGACGUCGCGUGAGGGAUGGAGGCCUUCGGGUUGUGAACCUCUUUCGCCGGUGAAGAAGGUCCUGCUCUUUGUGGUGGGGUUGACGGUAGCCGGGUUAUGAAGCGCCGGCUAACUACGUG